This 494-nucleotide ribosomal RNA is filed under the name uncultured bacterium. RNAcentral describes it as "bacterial SSU rRNA". It matches the Rfam family "Bacterial small subunit ribosomal RNA", at positions 903 to 1397 of the family's 1533-position model. The record is from RNAcentral.
AAAGGAAUAGACGGGGACCCGCACAAGCAGCGGAGCAUGUGGUUUAAUUCGAAGCAACGCGAAGAACCUUACCAAGACUUGACAUUUCAUGCAUAGGCUAGAGAUAGCCGAAACUCAGCAAUGAGCAUGAGGACAGGUGGUGCAUGGUUGUCGUCAGCUCGUGUCGUGAGAUGUUCGGUUAAGUCCGGCAACGAGCGCAACCCUUGUGAUAUGUUGGCAAUAUUAAGUUAGCAACUCAUAUCAGACUGCCGUGGACAACACGGAGGAAGGCGGGGACGACGUCAAAUCAUCAUGCCCCUUACGUCUUGGGCUACACACGUGCUACAAUGGGCGCUACAGACAGUAACGAAGUCGUGAGAUGGAGUCAAUCUGAAAAAAGCGUUCUCAGUUCGGAUUGUGGGCUGCAACUCGCCCACAUGAAGUCGGAGUUGCUAGUAAUCCCGGAUCAGCACGCCGGGGUGAAUGCGUUCCCGGGUCUUGUACACACCGCCCGU